Molecule: long non-coding RNA, 204 nt
Filed under: Gossypium barbadense (sea-island cotton)
Lineage: Eukaryota; Viridiplantae; Streptophyta; Magnoliopsida; Malvales; Malvaceae
Description: long non-coding RNA (GBAR_LNC008686)
Source: RNAcentral
UCUUCUCUUAUGAUAUUUUUAGGGGAAGAUGAAGAAUGAUGCUAUAGCCUCUCACUUUUCCGCUAUCCGCCUUCUUGUGAUAGGGAGAUGAGGGAUGCAGACAUUGAUCACAUACUAGUUUUUCUGACCUUCUGCUGAAAGCCUUCAAAAUCCUCUUCUAGUCGCUUACCUACCUCGAGGAGUGACUCUUUUUCUUGUGUUUAG